AACUAAAUGAAUUGACGGGGGCCCGCACAAGCGGUGGAGCAUGUGGUUUAAUUCGAUGAUACGCGAGGAACCUUACCUGGGCUCAAAUGUAUGUUUGACGUAUUCUGAAAGGGAUACUUCUUCGGACAAUAUACAAGGUGCUGCAUGGUUGUCGUCAGCUCGUGCCGUGAGGUGUCGGGUUAAGUCCCAUAACGAGCGCAACCCCUAUCAUUAGUUGCCAUCAGGUAAUGCUGGGGACUCUAAGGAUACUGCCCCGGUUAACGGGGAGGAAGGUGGGGAUGACGUCAAGUCAGUAUGUCCCUUACGUCCAGGGCUACACACGUGUUACAAUGGCCGGUACAAUGAGUUGCGACCCUGCAAAGGUAAGCCAAUCUCAAAAAACCGGUCUCAGUUCGGAUUGCAGUCUGCAACUCGACUGCAUGAAGUUGGAAUCGCUAGUAAUCGUAGAUCAGCACGCUACGGUGAAUACGUUCCCGGGCCUU
Molecule: ribosomal RNA, 482 nt
Filed under: uncultured bacterium
Lineage: Bacteria
Description: partial 16S ribosomal RNA
Rfam family: Bacterial small subunit ribosomal RNA
Source: RNAcentral